Long non-coding RNA from Acipenser ruthenus (sterlet), 1722 nucleotides. RefSeq lists it as uncharacterized. The record is from RefSeq and is a predicted model, not a curated record. The transcript is spliced from 2 exons. NCBI's taxonomy places the organism in Eukaryota, Metazoa, Chordata, Actinopteri, Acipenseriformes, Acipenseridae.
AAACUUGAGUGACUUCACUUGCAGUGACAAUAAUACUGAUAGGAGUAACUGCUCAAUUAAAUUGUGUUCUAAAAAGGCAGACACUCUCCCCAAAGGUAUUCAUUUUGCAUGCAUAGCAAACACCUAUGAACAUCACCGAGUUUAAAGUCGCAAUCGAUAGUGAAGAGCUGAGUGAAAGUUUGAAGGAAACAGUUGAAAAAAAAGCCUGGCUUUAGAAUAGUCUGAACUUGAGUACAAGAAUAAACUCACAGCAGAAUGUAUUGCGCUGCUGGAUUUCAGUGGUUGGGUACCUGGUGGUUCACAGGGGGAUUGUUUGAUUUCAGUGGUUGGGUACCUGGUGGUUCACAGGGGGAUUGUUUGAUUUCAGUGGUUGGGUACCUGGUGGUUGACAGGGGGAUUGUUUGAUUUCAGUGGUUGGGUACCUGGUGGUUCACAGGGGGAUUGUUUGAUUUCAGUGGUUGGGUACCUGGUGGUUCACAGGGGGAUUGUUUGAUUUCAGUGGUUGGGUACCUGGUGGUUGACAGGGGGAUUGUUUGAUUUCAGUGGUUGGGUACCUGGUGGUUCACAGGGGGAUUGUUUGAUUUCAGUGGUUGGGUACCUGGUGGUUCACGGGGGGAUUGUUUGAUUUCAGUGGUUGGGUACCUGGUGGUUCACAGGGGGAUCGUUUGAUUUCAGUGGUUUGGUACCUGGUGGUUGACAGGGGGAUUGUUUGAUUUCAGUGGUUUGGUACCUGGUGGUUGACAGGGGGAUUGUUGACAGGUACCACCUGCUUCUGAGACAGACAGGAAAAGUGUACAUCUGACCUGAAAGUUACUAGGUAAUAAAUCAGCUCUGUUUCUGAUUUGGCUCACCCAAAACCUUCCCAAUUGCCUAUUCUUUGUCCUUUGCUCUGUCGUUUAAGUUGUUAUGACUUGCUGCUUCCCUCGAUGACUGAUACACCUAACAGCCAUUCAUUGUGAUUUUUGCUGGCAUACAAAGGAAUUACUGGCUCAUCUUGGAUUUACAGAACAUAAUCUCGCUCCACUUACAUCCCUGGAUAAAUAUUCUUUAUUUCAAAAUGUGACAGAAAUAGAAUGAUUCUUGGUGGUAAAUCUCCCUCCCGACCUGUGAGGGCGCUAAGUAACGGGAACAGAGUACCCUGGACUGUUUGGCCUGACACUUCAUUCCCAGGGUUAAAAGGAAAGGGGGUGGAGCUUCGGUGCACUAACUCAUCGACCCGGAAGGGAAAUGAUGUGGCAUGGAGGAGCAGCUGCAAUCAUUUACCAAGGGGUCAUGUGUGACGGUACAAAAAGGGGAUGACGCGACAUAACCUGUUCCUUUGUUGAUGGUUAAGAAAGACCCGGAAGGACCCGUAUUCGUGUUUAUCGUACCGUGAGUGUUUUGUUUGUUUGUCACUAAUUGUUACUGUGGUUAUUAUUAGUAGACGGCUAACACAGUCCGGAGCUGUCGCCAGAGGCCAGCACUAACCCGGACAUCAUUGCACCUGUAUCAUGAUAAACGGUAUUUACACCACAAGCACUUUAGCACGCACAGUGGACUUGUGUUUGUGUUUUGUGUUACGUGUGGGUGUUUAAGAACGGGACUAUUAUUAUUUCGGGACCAACCCGUGGAUUACAAAUAAAGCAAUACCCACCACAGUAUUGCUUAUCACUAUUAUUAUUUACUGUGCUUUGUGUCAUCAGACAAACUGGAUAUAAAAAUAAAACAAACAUUGCACCUGGA